CCUACGGGUGGCAGCAGUGGGGAAUAUUGCACAAUGGGCGGAACCCUGAUGCAGCGACGCAGCGUGCGUGAAGAAGUAUCUCGGUAUGUAAAGCUCUAUUUGCAGGGAAGAAAAUUACGUUACCUGACUAAGAAGCUCCGGCUAACUACGUGCCAGCAGCCGCGGUUAUACGGAGGGGGCCAGCGUUAUCCGGAUUUACUGGGUGUAAAGGGAGCGUAGACGGUUAUGCAAGUCUGUAGUGAAAGGCCAAGGCUCAACCAUGGGACUGCUUUGGAAACUGUAAAACUGGAGUGCAGGAGAGGUAAGCGGAAUUCGUAGUGUAGCGGUGAAAUGCGUAGAUAUUAGGAAGAACACCAGUGGCGAAGGCAGCUUACGGGACUGUUACUGACGUUGAAGCUCGAAGGCGUGGGGAGCAAACAGGAUUAGAUACCCGGGUAGUC
This 440-nucleotide ribosomal RNA is filed under the name uncultured bacterium. RNAcentral's name for it is "partial 16S ribosomal RNA". It matches the Rfam family "Bacterial small subunit ribosomal RNA", at positions 338 to 795 of the family's 1533-position model. The record is from RNAcentral.